RNAcentral lists this ribosomal RNA (424 nucleotides) under Verrucomicrobiota bacterium. RNAcentral's name for it is "Verrucomicrobia bacterium partial 16S ribosomal RNA". It matches the Rfam family "Bacterial small subunit ribosomal RNA", at positions 355 to 776 of the family's 1533-position model. Lineage: Bacteria; Pseudomonadati; Verrucomicrobiota. The record is from RNAcentral.
UGAGGAAUAUUGGUCAAUGGACGCAAGUCUGAACCAGCCAAGUAGCGUGCAGGAUGACGGCCCUAUGGGUUGUAAACUGCUUUUAUAUGGGGAUAAAGUGGGGAACGUGUUCCCUUUUGCAGGUACCAUAUGAAUAAGGACCGGCUAAUUCCGUGCCAGCAGCCGCGGUAAUACGGAAGGUUCGGGCGUUAUCUGGAUUUAUUGGGUUUAAAGGGAGCGUAGGCCGUUUGGUAAGCGUGUUGUGAAAUGUAGGAGCUCAACUUCUAGAUUGCAGCGCGAACUGUCAGACUUGAGUGCGCACAACGUAGGCGGAAUUCAUGGUGUAGCAGUGAAAUGCUUAGAUAUCAUGAAGAACUCCGAUUGCGAAGGCAGCUUACGGGAGCGCAACUGACGCUGAAGCUCGAAGGUGCGGGUAUCGAACAAG